This 377-nucleotide ribosomal RNA is filed under the name uncultured bacterium. Its description in RNAcentral is "bacterial SSU rRNA". It matches the Rfam family "Bacterial small subunit ribosomal RNA", at positions 521 to 896 of the family's 1533-position model. The record is from RNAcentral.
UAAGACGGACCACACAAACGUUAUUCGGAAUUACUGGGCUUAAAGGGUGCGUAGGCUGUGCAGAAAGUUGGGUGUGAAAUCCCUCGGCUUAACCGAGGAACUGCGCCCAAAACUACUGUGCUGGAGGGAGACAGAGGUGAGCGGAACUUAGGGUGGAGCGGUGAAAUGCGUUGAUAUCCUAAGGAACACCGGUGGCGAAAGCGGCUCACUGGGUCUCUUCUGACGCUGAUGCACGAAAGCUAGGGUAGCGAACGGGAUUAGAUACCCCGGUAGUCCUAGCCGUAAACGAUGAGCACUGGAUUGGAGGGUCCUCCAUAGCCUUCCAGUCGUAGCGAAAGUGUUAAGUGCUCCGCCUGGGGAGUAUGGUCGCAAGGCUG